CAAUAAGUGUUCAAUGGCACUUUUAAAAUCCAUUACCCACCUUGUGUGCAAUGUAAGGAGGAGGGGGUUUUGUCAGACUUUUUUGGUCUGGUUUCCCCUCUUUCAUUAUACAUACCAAAUCUUCUCUUGUUGUCUACUUUUUGAGUAUAAAAAAACUCGAAUA
This 163-nucleotide unclassified non-coding RNA is filed under the name soil metagenome. RNAcentral's name for it is "partial internal transcribed spacer 1". The record is from RNAcentral.